Bos taurus (domestic cattle) is the source of this 729-nucleotide long non-coding RNA. NCBI's taxonomy places the organism in Eukaryota, Metazoa, Chordata, Mammalia, Artiodactyla, Bovidae. The record is from Ensembl.
GGUCUCUGAGGCUUCCCAAGUUGAGAAAUCAAAUGCAGUGAUUUUUCUUUCAUGAAAGUUGACGGUAUCAACGUGUAUACACAGUUCAGUACCUUCGCAGGACCUCAUCCAUAUUAUCUUUCCAAAUGAACUGGUCAGGGGAAAAUGUGAGUUGCACAACAGUAAGAAGGUAUAAUCUCAUUUUUGUUAAAACAAAUCAAAACCAAAAAGAUACCCAAACUCAGCAGUGUCGGUAAUGUUUGGGAGCGUGUUAGAAAUGGAGACACUUGGCUCUCACCCCAGAUGCACGGAGUCAGAUCCUCCAUUAACGAAAUCCACAGCCGUCUCUGUCGGCAUCUCCCUGGAUAUACGCGGAAACAUGUACAUGAGUAGAAAUUUUUGGCCCUAAUAGGUGCCACGGACCAUAUAAUAAGUAGAAGAACUCUGGGGACAGCGGAAGAAAAGGCCCCAUUGGCAAAGCCCUGCUGUGAUCAGAAAGAAAAAGUUGGAGAUGGUACCUCACAGCAGGAGAUGAAGCCUUAAAGGCAUUACGGCCCCACUGGCCUAGCCGUUCUCGGCAGACUGCAGGCGCUGUGGCCCAGAGGGUAAGACAGUUUCCCACCCAGAGCCCAGCCUUGACUUCCCCGGAUUCCUGUCAACACAAGGGUUUUAAUGAGUCUACCCGAGAUGUGAGCACGCCAUUGUAUUUGCACUUUAUGACAUCUUGUUAUAUUUCAGAGGAGAGGAUUC